GGGUGAUUCUGAUAACUUUGAAUAAUUAGUUCCCAGGUCAGCUCUGGGAUCCAUGGUCAUUUCACGGACUCGUGGAGUUUAUAUUGGGAAGGGACCUGAGGGGUUUUCUAGCUAGUCUUUUCAUUUUACAGUUGGGGAAACAAGCCCAGACAAAGGAAAUGGCUUGCCCAGGAUUGCAUGGAUUUCUUUCAUCUUUGCUGUAUCUCAGAGCCCCUGGCUCCUUCAGCUGCCUUGUCUGAGUCUCCUGGCACUCCAGCUUCCUCAGGCUUCCCCAUCGUACCAUCGGCAGUACUAUAGCUCUUGAAUGUCUUUCACAUGUCAAAGGGGAGCAGUGCAUUAAAACGACAGAGAUGGACUAAAGCUUCUGGGUCAGAGUGAGAAACGUCCCUCCUUCUGUUUCUGUUGAAUCCCUGCACCUGACUGUGGGCCCCACUGUCUCUCUGGUCCUUGAGGAUCCUCUUUCUCUGCCCUCUGUCCUGGCUCUUUUCCUUCCACCACACCUUACUUAUGGCUUUAUCAUGCUCCCUCUGUCCUAGCACCCUUCGGCUACCACAGCUGCUCUUUCUACUUCCUUACCUCCCCUCCGCUGCUCAACAAAGACACUGCAACUGGCUUCCUUCCUACUGCUCCACUGAAAUAGCUUUCGCCAAGGUUCCCAAUGAGCUCUGGGUUGCUAAACCCAGCAAAUCUAUUUUUUUUUUUUAAAACCAAAUUGCUUCUUUUCCCCCCAAGACAAACAGAUUGGAAGAAGCGUUCGCAUGCCUCUCCCACUUGAAAGGACAGAAUAGUGUGUAGAGAUUCACACUAUAAUUUUUUUUCUCUAAGAAUGAAUGCAGGAACUGAACAGGAAAACUGAAAGAAUCCACAGAACUUUUGAAAGAAGUGGCAGCUGCAGCCUACUCUGUGAGACAGGCAAAAAACUCACCUCUAGGCAGAAUAGCACUGCACCCAGGAAGGAGAAAACAGCUGCAUAUUCUCAGCUCUCACCGUUGCUUACAACACCCUGGCUAACCAGAAGUCCUGCGUCCGCCCACGUGAUAACAUCACUAUAAUUAUAACCAGCAUUUGAGAAAGUCAGCACGCCAAGCCUUUCGAAUCUUGCAGAGUUUACAUCACUCCCCUUCCACGUCUAUCAGAGGUGGUGCUGGUAUUCACUGCUGGGAGUCUUAAAGACAGGUCACAUCACUGGAUCCCUUGCAGACAUUCCCCAGCACCAGCCCAGAGUCUGGUAGGCCCACUGGGGGGAUAGACCCAGAAGAGCACUGUAGUCUGGCUCUCAGGAAGUCCCAUUCCUAGAGAAAGGGGAAGAACAUCACAUUAAGGGAACACCCUGUGGGACAAAAUAAUCUGAACGGCAGGUCUUGAGUGCCAGAUCUUUUCACUGGUGUGAAGUUUCCUAUAGCGGAGACACAAUUGCUGUGCUGUGCUGGGCAGAGUAGGGAAAGUUUGCACCUCUACUCAACAGGCAGGCAGCCUCUGGUAUUGUGAAGGGUCUUAGAGAAGGGGUCCUUUUUCCCCCUGGUACACCACUGCAGACAGAGCUGGGGCUUCUCCCAAAAGAAUGCAGCAUGGAUGCACCUACAGACAGCUUCCCUGAACCAAUCAGGGUGAUUGCAUCCCCACGGGAGGAGCACUCCCCAGAUUCAGGCUUGCAUGACAGUCAGUCACAAUUCCACUCUACUUGGAACAUCAACAUUUCUACAGAUGAAAAUAACUGCCUGUCUGAUCUGAAUAGCCAGAGGAGUGAAGUGGGGAGGUGGAUAGCUUUCCAGCUGGCCUUGUGGGGGACCUGAGGUAGCUCUUACCCUUCACCCUGACAAAACCUCAGCAUAUCUAAUUGAGAGGUCCCCCAGCCACUUUCAUCAAGGCUGGGAUCUCUGCCCACCUUUGGGUAUUACAUCUACCUACCUGCUUUAGCUACAACUGGUGCCUACCCAGGGAUACUUCCCCUACUGGUCCAAAGCCUGAAUCAUCAACUCAGUAAAUAAAAUACUGGGGAAAAAUUAAAUAAAUAAAUAAAGAGUACACUCAUAAAGAGAAUGAGGUAAGCUUAAAGAGAUUCCUGCCAUUCCAACCCCAUAGGAGACAGUAAACCUUCUCACACACCACGUACAUAACUACUACAACCAGGAUCUGGGAAAGCCAGCACACACUCUCUCACACUAAGGAACUCAUACAGAGUCUUCACUCCUAAAACCCAAAAGUCUUCACCCCUAAAAACCAAGGAUCAAAUUAGGCUAAAAUAAGCUAUAAACAUUAAAGUCAGAUCCUUAAGGGGAAAGAAAAACAAAUUAAAAAGAAAAAAAAAACAGUCGCUGGGCACGGUGGCUCAUGCCUGUAAUA
This is a long non-coding RNA of Piliocolobus tephrosceles (Ugandan red Colobus), 2343 nucleotides long. RefSeq lists it as uncharacterized. The record is from RefSeq and is a predicted model, not a curated record. NCBI's taxonomy places the organism in Eukaryota, Metazoa, Chordata, Mammalia, Primates, Cercopithecidae. The transcript is spliced from 2 exons.